Molecule: microRNA precursor, 94 nt
Filed under: Canis lupus familiaris (dog)
Lineage: Eukaryota; Metazoa; Chordata; Mammalia; Carnivora; Canidae
Description: mir-8834 microRNA precursor family
Rfam family: mir-8834 microRNA precursor family
Source: Rfam by way of RNAcentral
AGGAGGAACAGCCCCAGUGUCGGGGCAGCUCUGGAAACCUGGAUUCAGCUCCGGCAGGAACUCCGUCUGCAGGGCCUGGAGGCUCCGGGGCGCG